CCUACGGGAGGCAGCAGUGGGGAAUAUUGCACAAUGGACGAAAGUCUGAUGCAGCAACGCCGCGUGGAGGAUGACACAUUUCGGUGCGUAAACUCCUUUUAUUAGGGAAGAUAAUGACGGUACCUAAUGAAUAAGCACCGGCUAACUCCGUGCCAGCAGCCGCGGUAAUA
This 170-nucleotide ribosomal RNA is filed under the name uncultured bacterium. RNAcentral describes it as "partial 16S rRNA". It matches the Rfam family "Bacterial small subunit ribosomal RNA", at positions 338 to 525 of the family's 1533-position model. The record is from RNAcentral.